This 450-nucleotide ribosomal RNA is filed under the name uncultured bacterium. Its description in RNAcentral is "partial 16S ribosomal RNA". It matches the Rfam family "Bacterial small subunit ribosomal RNA", at positions 338 to 795 of the family's 1533-position model. The record is from RNAcentral.
CCUACGGGGGGCAGCAGUAAGGAAUAUUGGUCAAUGGACGCAAGUCUGAACCAGCCAUGCCGCGUGGAGGAUGAAGGUCCUCUGGAUUGUAAACUUCUUUUAUUUGGGAAGAAACUCACGAUUUCCAUCGGGAUUGACGGUACCAGAUGAAUAAGCACCGGCUAACUCCGUGCCAGCAGCCGCGGUAAUACGGAGGGUGCCGGCGUUAUCCGGAUUAACGGGGUUGAAGGGGGGCAGGUAUGUCAGGGUUGAAAUCUCCGGGCUUAGCCCGGAAACUGCCAUUGAUACUAUUUGUCUUGAAUACUCUGGAGGUGAGCGGAAUAUGUCAUGUAGCGGUGAAAUGCUUAGAUAUGACAUAGAACACCCAUUGCGAAGGCAGCUCACUACGGAAAUAUUGACGCUGAGGCACGAAAGCGUGGGGAUCAAACAGGAUUAGAUACCCGGGUAGUC